Molecule: long non-coding RNA, 1431 nt
Organism: Daphnia pulicaria
Lineage: Eukaryota; Metazoa; Arthropoda; Branchiopoda; Diplostraca; Daphniidae
Exons: 3
Source: RefSeq, a predicted model, not a curated record
GCGAAUGCAAGUGCAAACACACCACAACUGCUUUUGUCAGCUUGUUUUUGACAACUUGGGGCAUACAAGCUGUAAUCUGUAUAACCCAACAAGCUGGAAAUUGCUUUCACCGUUUCCUCUUCGGAACUCCUUUCAAAUCCCAAGCUGUCAUACACGGCUACAUUAUGGUUUCUGCACACUGGGAAACCGGAAACAGCUAGGACCCAAUGGCAUUUUCCGGUAUGAAUUAUUUGUAUCCAACGUUUUUCUUUCGGCACAGUGUAAGUUCCGCUGAUUCCAACUCAUACUCUAAGAUUAACAAAGCAAUCGGCGCGCCAAUCAUGUAACAAUUGGUUGUUUUUCAAAUGGGCGCUUGCCAGAUGCAUUUCAUCUUCCUUUAAGUAUGCAUGGCCAUUCCCCCCCCCCCCCAUUAAAACAAAAGCUUUCUUUUGGUGUCAUGCAGAAAUAGUCAUGCAGUUUACUAUGCCAUCGCAACGUGCAUGACAGCUCGGUUCAUGCGGCGAAUUCAUGCAGAUUAUUAUCAUGCAGUCAUGCAGAGUUUUCAUGCACAUUACCAACACCCCCUUAUCAAUUAUUUUUAAAGUAUGUUAAGUAGGAAAAACAUUUAAGUACUAUAGAAAAAUAAGUGGCACGGUAGUAUUUCAAUUUUUUUAGUGUAUAAAAUAGUUUAAGUACGUUGAUACUAUUCAGUAGGCAAAUAUUACUCACAAAACAACAUAUAUAUAAAAAAAUAUAAGAAAUACAAAAAAUAUAAAAAAUACGAAAAAAUAUAAAAAAUACGGAAAAAUAUAAAAAAUUCGGAAAAAUAUAUUUUUAUUUAAAUAUUCGUACACCCAAAUCAUGAGUUGACUACCCCUUGGCGGAAAGGCAUUCUGUGAUACGUUGGUUUCAACGGAUAUUCAUCAUCAUUCCGAGCACUGGAGGGGGUUUUUGCAUCGUUAAUGAGCAAUUUCGUGUGCUACUCCCGAGCAAAUUAAAGCGGCUUUCAAAGAACCAGUUGCUGUUCCUGCAGGACCUCCCACUACAACGUCAUCUGUUCCCGUUUGUGAAACUACAGAAAGUUCUACUCUUGUUGAUCCAGUCGUUCAGCAGCAAAUGGUGGCAUCGUUUGCUUAACAAUCUGCAAUGAAUACGACUUGGUCAUUGAAGUUUUUAGAAGAAAACGGCUGGGUUUUCGAUCGUGCUGCCCUUGUUUUCACCGAGCUCAAAGCCGCCAACCAGAUCCCGCCAGAAGCGUUCAUCAAAUAGUACCGAGAUUAGGAUGUCGGUGAUAUUUUCUUGGAUGUUCUUACGAAUUGUUGGCAUCCAAUAAAAAAAUGUUUGCAGUUCAAUGAUACAAACUUGAUUGGAAAUUCGUCAUCUUAUUUGUGCGAACCAAUUUCGUAAUGCGAAGAUAGAGAUUAUAGUGUUUUCCUUCGUCUCUGAACAGAG